Molecule: ribosomal RNA, 207 nt
Filed under: uncultured bacterium
Lineage: Bacteria
Description: partial 16S ribosomal RNA
Rfam family: Bacterial small subunit ribosomal RNA
Source: RNAcentral
CACGUAGGCGGGCUCUUAAGUCGGUGGUGAAAUCCUGGAGCUCAACUCCAGAACUGCCUCCGAUACUGGGAGUCUUCGAGUCCGGGAGAGGUGAGUGGAACUGCGAGUGUAGAGGUGAAAUUCGUAGAUAUUCGCAAGAACACCAGUGGCGAAGGCGGCUCACUGGCCCGGUACUGACGCUGAGGUGCGAAAGCGUGGGAGCAAACA